UUUUUUGUUGUAAAACCUCUGUUUCUUGUAGUGUAUGUAUGAUCAGUACAUAUGACGAUGUAUAUUAAUAUAUGUGUGUGUAGGCAAAGCGGCGCAACAAGUGAAGGUCCCUGUGCCAGAAGGAUGCACUGAUCCUUCAGCAGCAAACUAUGAUCCCACUGCAAGGAGUGAUGAUGGAAGCUGUCAAUACCAGUUGGAGUGAUGAUGGCAAGUAAUCAUAUCUAUCACCAUCGCUAUCACCAUCACCAUCGUCAACAUAAUGGACUUCUUCCCUGCUUAAUAUGUAACUAUUUAUGUGUGUAUUCACCCCUUUGAAUUUAUCUGUAUAUGCACCAUUUGUAACAUUUACUGAAUUGCAAGUUUCAUGCAAUAUAUAAUUGUAUAUCUACCUUGAGUAGUUUCCUCUCGUUAUCUCCCUACCUCCGGGGAUCGUCGGAUUGAAUACAAAUCUCAUCUUCCUAUCAU
This 465-nucleotide long non-coding RNA is filed under the name Zostera marina. RNAcentral's name for it is "long non-coding RNA (ZMAR_LNC000800)". The record is from RNAcentral. Lineage: Eukaryota; Viridiplantae; Streptophyta; Magnoliopsida; Alismatales; Zosteraceae.